CCUGGUCAGGUCCGGAAGGAAGCAGCCACAGCUAUUUUUUGCAAGUGCCGGGGGUUUGGCUCGCCACC
RNAcentral lists this signal recognition particle RNA (68 nucleotides) under Nitrosomonas sp. Its description in RNAcentral is "partial signal recognition particle sRNA small type". It matches the Rfam family "Bacterial small signal recognition particle RNA", at positions 32 to 97 of the family's 97-position model. From Rfam's summary of the family: The signal recognition particle (SRP) is a universally conserved ribonucleoprotein involved in the co-translational targeting of proteins to membranes. Archaeal SRP consists of a 7S RNA and homologues of the eukaryotic SRP19 and SRP54 proteins. Lineage: Bacteria; Pseudomonadati; Pseudomonadota; Betaproteobacteria; Nitrosomonadales; Nitrosomonadaceae. The record is from RNAcentral.